UAACGGUACGUUUUUGCUUUAUUGUCUUGUCAAAUGUCUCGAGCGACUUUAGAGAACAUAUCUUCUCAUCAUUGCGUCGAUAUCCACUUUGGAGAACAUAUCUUCUCAUCAUUGCGUCGAUAUCCAUCACAGCAACACACGAAAUGGACUACGAAUAAGUCCCAAUUUUUUUUUCAUAUGUAAGUGAAAUGAUCAGAUUAAUGGUUCAAUAAAGUUGGUCCCGAGCAACGUCAUGAGUGACGGCCAAAAUAAAAUAAAACAACUGCAAACGGUGGAUAAAUAAAUAAAAGAACGAUGAAGAAAUGUGAGCGCAUACGAAUUAGAAGUUAUGUGCUAAACGCUUCAUACUGAUGACAUUGUCUGAAGCGUACCAGCUUUACAAGAUGGACUAUUUUCUGAGACCAGACAUUCAAUAAGCUGACACAUAAUAAACCAGAUGUUUAUAUUUCUUUAUUGAAUCUCUUAACCAAAAUAAGAAAAUCAGAUGGAUGCUUUUCUAAAAUGUAUAUUUUUUUUUAUGUGUGCUGCUCUCAAAUUUAAAAAUAAAUGGAUGUUAUCCAGCUA
Drosophila gunungcola (fruit fly) is the source of this 564-nucleotide long non-coding RNA. RefSeq lists it as uncharacterized. NCBI's taxonomy places the organism in Eukaryota, Metazoa, Arthropoda, Insecta, Diptera, Drosophilidae. The transcript is spliced from 2 exons. The record is from RefSeq and is a predicted model, not a curated record.